RNAcentral lists this long non-coding RNA (8152 nucleotides) under Sorghum bicolor (sorghum). Its description in RNAcentral is "long non-coding RNA (SBIC_LNC004764)". Lineage: Eukaryota; Viridiplantae; Streptophyta; Magnoliopsida; Poales; Poaceae. The record is from RNAcentral.
UCUUUUGUGGUAUUUCUGGAUCCUUACCAAGGCAGUGAUGGUAAAUGCCUUCUCUCAAAAUAUGUAGUAUUUGUGGUAUAAGGCAUAGUGACAUUGCCUUCUCUCUCAUCCUACUCUAAUAAGGCUUUGAUAUCUGGAGCUCAUAGGUGGGAGAUAGAAUAUACAUACUUACAAGACAUUUAUUGCAUAGUCAAACCAUGGAUCCAGAGAAACAAGUCAAUAAGUCAAAUCAAGAUGUACAUGUAUGGCGAAUGAAUGGUGUAUGGUGAUGAUGGUGAUAACAAUGGUGAAAGUCUAAUUCUACUUGUUGCUCUUUUGAGGGGAUACAUACCUUUCUUGCUCUUUGAAACUUUUGAGGAGAAUGAGAUGCUCUAUAUUUUCUUUUUCUUUUUUCUCAGAUGGGUAUCUUGUACGCCUAAUUCUACUGUCGCACACUUGUCCAUUUUUACCUCUCGUCUCACUUUUUCAUUUCUUUCGAGGUUCCGGGCACUUGCCCCUUUUUAUUUCCUCGUAUUUUUUUCUUUUUUUAGAGCACUCAUCUCCUAAAAUAAUAUAGCAAGUGGUAGUAACCAAGAUAACUUGAGCAUUUAUUUCACAGGGGAAAAACAGAAAUGUUUGUGGCUAUUCUCUCCCGGAUUAGGAGUAGAAUAUUUUUGGGUGGUUCUGGAGAUGGAAAUGAGUGGAUAUAUAUGGAUACGUACUUCCGGAGUAGAAGCAGCAUGUGUGAGUGAACGUGCAAGUGAAUCUUGAUUUAACCACAUGACAAGCUCCUAAGGGUCUACACAGCUUGACCACACUCAAUGCUCAUAAGUGUUGACGGUCCUUAAGUAUCAAAUUUAAUUAUCAAAUAAACAAAGAAAAGGAUCCAAAUGAAAUCAACAUCUAGACUUAGGGUUUUAUUUGACAGAAUUCCACGAGUUUUGGUGUUUGUCUAUUUCUGCAGGGGGUUAUCAGGAAAUAAUAAAGAAAGGCCCACAUGUCGGGAUUACAAAGAGAUAUCAACCCACCGCGCAAUUUUCUACCAUCUAGAAGACUCCAGAAGCCACGGGAAGGAAGCGGAGCCCGAAAGGGGCCAGGCCCAGGGCGCCCGCCCUGAGGACCUGGGCGCGCGCCCCCCUCUGGACUCCGUUCCGGACUCUCUUCGCACACGACGUUCCACCGACCUAUUGGAUCCAGAAUAACAUAGUACCACCUCGCCUAUCGACCCAAAAACGCAUAGAAGGGGAGGACUAUAUAAGGAGACCCCCUCUGGCCCUGGAGGAGACAAGAAAUUAUCAUAGAGAUUGAGGGGUGCCCUCGAAGGAAAACCUCUUCUCUAAAUAAUAUUUCUUUUUAGGCUUAGCAACCAAUGUAAAGUAGAAAUAGAUCUUCUAGUUUCUACUAGAUUGAGAGAGAUAGAGUGGAGGUGUGGAUCGGAGGAAGGCCGGCCUGUCGGUGUCUACUCCGAGUUGUACCUACGGGAUCAAGUCUCCUAACCCGAGGCUUGCUUCUAAGAUUCUUCAGUAAUUCGACAUCUAAUACUAGUAAGUUCUUGUUUUAUUGUUCUUUGGUUUAUGAGUUUACUUUAAUCCUCAUCCGGUUGAGUAUUAGAGUAAUCAUUGCUGGCGUAAACGUGGUGUUUAGGCUAGGGUACUCAUAGAUAUCCCCUGACUAGCUGGACCGUGGUAGUAGCGAGGAACGUGACAUUUCCGAGUUACCUUUGUAGAUCACAUCUCGUUAGCAGGACGGGUAGGUUUAUAGGUGCGGGUCGAACAUCCUUUGUGUUGUCUAGAUUCCGUGAGCCUCCCCAAUAGAAUAGUAGAUCAUCCUUACCAAGAUUAGAACGAGACUACGGUUGCAGUCUUCUCUAUACAUCACUCACAUCGAGAGACAUUCUUUGUAGCCUAAAGGGAUAGUAGCAAUAGAUUUGGUUAGUCAGAUGCACCCUUUCUCCCAGUGGUAAAAAUAUAAAUACGAUACUCUGGAAAACCUCCCGGGUGAAAUGCUCACCGAUAUCCGUGCGCUUGCGGAUCAUUUCCUUAUUGCGUUACUAAAUAUCAACAAGCAUUUCUGGCGCCGUUGCCGGGGAGAAAGACGGUUUGCUGAGAUAACUUUGAGUCUUGCUAUUAUCUUGUAUUAUACUUUUAUACUUUUAUUCUUUUAUCUUUUUAUUUUUAUCUUUAUGGAUAACUCAAAUUCCAUACUUAUUAUUAAAUUUUUUGCACCUUCGGAGACCAGCCAUAGACCAUGGGAGUCAACACGUCCUGCCCCUAAUUAUGAUCUGUGUCCGGAGUUGAUUGCAAUAGGUCAAAACCAACCCUUUUCUAUAGCUGAGGUCCUAUCUUUUAAUCAAGAAGAUAAUGCACUUUUAGCUACACCUAGGGAAUCUGUUAAUCUUUCUAUAAAUUCUGGUUUAGACCUAGCCCUACAAGACCAUAUUUUUCCUAAAUAUUUUCACAUUGGUCUUAAUCAUAUAACCUUUGGUAGAGUCUUUCUUUCUUUAUCUAUUAGUAAAGGAAGGUAUGUCUUCAUUUGUGGACAUCCUUCUUUCACUAGUCUUCAUAGAAAAAUCUUAGAGAUAGAGAAGGAAUCAUCUCCCAGACGAGGAAAGGAAGUUUCCAUAGCCAAUUUCCAAACAUUUCAAUCCCAUAAUUCGGCUAUCCAUCCCAUCCUUGAGCUUAAUAGUUUCUACUAUGCUCUUUCUCUUGAACCUCCCGAUAAUCCUAUGAAUCUAUCUAGACAUCUCAUGCAUAAGGAGGAUCGAGAAGAGCAACAUCGAUGGCUAGAGGGCAUUAAAAAUCCAUGUGCUAUCACCAUUGAAUGGAUAGAUAAAACAAACUUGAGAGACAAUCCUAGAGGAAUUUUAAGCAUUCAUGAAGAAUCAUCCUUGGAGUUUGAGAAUGAGAGAAACAACAGUGAGCAUGGAAGUUAUUUCAUAAAUACCUCACCCAGUCCUUGCUCAUAUAAAACAUCUGUCCAAUCAAUUGGUCUCUCCAUCCUUAUCACAUUUGAGAUCUCCAACCCCCUCUUCUUUUAUAUUUAUAACAACUUUAAAAGAGCGGUUGUCGAUGCAUAUGUCUAUAAUAGAUAUUGCAGAUCUCGUUGAGUUAAUCUUGAUAUAGGUAGGUGUUGGAGGGGAAACCACUUCACCAACAUAACUUGAUGGUUUCCCAAGGAUAAGCUUAGCAUCCUUAAACAAGCACUUAUCAGAUCAUAACAUGAAAUUCUAAUUAUUUGCAACAUUGCCUUGUGUAUUGAGCAUAUUGAGAUAAUUGUAGAAAUAUUCCUUCGGGUAUUCUUGCCACUAACCUUUCCAGGAUUGGAGCAAGAAGAUCCGAGGAAUGACAAGCGCAAGGUAUGCCCAACCAAUCAUCAUGCAACAUUGAAUUAAAUUCAUCCAAUCUUGAAUUUUGCAAAAUUCAAGCUUGGGGGAGUACUUUACAUAAAAACAUCAUUUGCCAUGUUGCUAUGUUGGUUGCCCUUACCUUUGAGACAUGCUCAAUUUGUUAAAUACUAAUCACACUACUUCAUAUUCACUUGAGUAGAUCUCUAUAAAUGCCAUCAUGCUACCUAUGUUUAUCUUAAGUAAGUGUUGGUUUGGAAGUACUGCACAUACUUCUAUUGUCUUUUAAAUUAAGCAUGGUGCUUAGGUUAAACAGCCUUCCUUAAUCUGAUUAGACAUGGAGUCUAGUUCGAUUAUUGAACUAAAAACUGCUUGUGUAGACAUUGGUAUAUUUUGUUGGACUAACCCCUGCAGGAAAACUUUCAAUAUCAACCUGGGAAGUCCUAAGAUACAAACUCACUGGAGACAAAGGAGACACAUGAAGUUUAACAAUUUGCACAAGAAGGACAUAGCUCAUUCAUCAUAAAGAGAUGAUCUAUGGAGGGUGCCACAAACACGAUGCACAACCGCUAAGAAAGGAAAGCUUCCACAAGCUAGGUGAUACUAUACCAUCACUCUUCAAGUAAGGUGACAUCUUAAGGUACUUGAUUAUCGCUUUUAUAAGUUUUUCCUUUGUUCUGGCAUUCACUUAAAAUAAAGAGACAAACAUGUAUGAUUUAUAACUCCAGAUUAACCAACUCAAUUAAUUCAACAUGUUUAGUCCUUUAAUCUUUGUUCUUAGUACUACCUUCGUGAUCCCACACUCCUAAUCAUAUAAGCUAAAAUGUUGCACAUUUAAAUCUUUGGAAGAUAUAAACAAAACAUAAAUAUAGAUAGAUUAUCUUUCCAUUAGGUUGAGCCAUCUGAUCUAACAAAUGUUUUAAAUGCUACACUCAUGAUCCAUCAACUUUGUCUUGCUCACUAUGCUUAAGGUUAGAGAAGAACAAAUACACUUUUGGUUCUGUUGGUGUUUUCCACCAACAGGGCCCAUGCACUUGAUCUCUGCCUUGUCUCUAUGAGCAGAUACAAUUCAAGCAAAACAUGGAGGAGUUUUACAACUCCCAGAUUCCACCAAGUGAAGAACCGGGAUCUACGAGCACAAACACAAUGGAGAUCACACACUUAGUUUCCCAAAGGAAAUAUUGAAGAACCUCUGCAUCCGAGUUGGUACCUUGUACGCUCUAGUAGACGUCGUGGUGAUAGAGACUGGUACUGAGGAGAGGGCACCCAUCAUCUUAGGGAGGCCAUUCCUAAACACCAGAGCUGUCAUAUACGUUAAUACUGCCAAGUUCAGUUUCUACAUCAAGGGGAAGAAGGAGACUUUCCUUCAAGAACAAGACUACACAAAUUUUAGAGCAAUCCCGACAUGAACCAAGGAAGAGGACCAACAGGAGGAACAGGAACAAGCAAAUGUGGACCGAGUCAGCUAAGAUGGUCACUACAGUUCAGAGGAGGUCAAAAUCAUCGACUCAAGUCGCCCUUCCUGAUCAAGAAGGACGACCCUGAUGUUCCAAGCAUUGAGUGCACAAUCAACAGAUAAUCUUUUCAGAAGACACUCUACAACAUCGGAUCUAACGACAACAUAAUGGCCGCAGUCACUUAUCAGCUCCUGCAUGGAACCAUGCCCCUACAACCAAUAUAUAUUCAGCUCCAGAUGAUUUUCAGAUCAUUGACAUGGGAGAAGACGAGUACGAUCCACCCAUCAUCCUUGGAAGACCGUUCCUCAACACUAUCAAAGCCAUCAUCUAUAUUGGAACCAGAGAAGUCCACAUGCACUUCCCCUCUGAGAAGGUACGCUGCUAUUUUACUCACCUUAACUAUAUAGUUGAAGACUCUAAACAAGUCAGGACAAGAAGAAGACGACGCAACCGCAACCAGAGGAGGCAAAUCAUCAAGGACGGAUGGGCAGACUACAAAGGAGAAGUGAUAAGGUCUGAAGACAUAUAUCUCGAACAGAACUGUCCUGAGGAGACCGUAGCACCGAGUCAGGUGUGGAGAGAGAAGAUAGUUAUACACGAAGAAGAGGCGCCGCCGGAAUCACCGACUACGCCACCCAGCAAAUCCCAAGACGAUUAAGAAAACACAAGGAGUCCCGUUCGGAGGACUUAAAAACACCGAACGCCUUGCCAAGAGGUAAACUUGGUAGUUAUCUUUUUCCUUUCAAUUAUUCAAUUAUAGUUUGCUUAGUUAAUCAGGUUCAUGCUAUCUUGAAAAGAAAAUAAAAAUGUUAAAAAAAUAGUAAGCCCCAUGUGAGUAUGCUCAUGGCAUAAAACCCAUAAGUACAUUCACCGUGGUGGCAUAAAAAUAAAAUAAAUAAGUUUUCAUCUUACAAUAAAAAUAUAAAAAUAAUAAGUGCAUGAUCCUGCUAAAUAAGUAAUAUUUAUUGAGAAGACUCAACAUGAUAAAGGCUAGAUAUUUAUGCUAACACUUAACCAGUUCCACAAAGCUUUGUUGUCUAUUUGAGCUCUACAGAAUUUAAGAACGACUAGCAGACGGAGGACAUCCUAAUCGCUGUCAGAGUGCUGCCGACUUUCAAAUACACCUCCAUCACCUGCUAGCUACAUGAGGAGAAAUUACGUCAAAAUCCAGCUUGGGGGAGAGCACCACCAUUUAUCCAGCUAAGUGUUUCUACUCGCGUUUAUACUUUACACAAAUAAUAAAAGAUGCAUAAUCAUGAAAAACCCAAAUAAAGAUUUUGUGCUUUUAUAUAUAUAUAUCUUUGCUUAGUUUGCUAAAUAAAUAAAUAAAUAAAGUUUGCUAUGAACCCUCAUGAUAAACUCUCACAUGGAAAUGAUGAAUAGUUGCUCUGCCACGACUAGUUCUUAAAAUUGAAAUCUCUCUCAAGUUUAGGCAUGACUGUUAUGAAGUAAGAUUUGCUCUAAACCUGAACUUGUGGGAAGAGUACUUGAUCUAAAGUCUAAGUCGUUAACGGAUACGAUAUGGGAAGGUUGAGCUGCUGUUCAUCUGUUCCUAGAGUUGCUAGAAUUCUGGAAAAUUUUAUCUUUGAAAAAUCUUUAAAAUAACACAUGAUGAGUUCCUGUAUGAUGAGAGUUUAAAUUCCUACCACAGCCAUAUAUACAUGCUUGCUAGACCUUGAGCCACACAUUUACUAUUUACUGCUUAUGAGCAUUGAGUGUGGUCAAGCUGUGUAGACCCUUAGGAGCUUGUCAUGUGGUUAAAUCAAGAUUCACUUGCACGUUCACUCAUACAUGCUACUUCUACUCCGGAAGUACCAUCCACAUAUAUCCACUCAUUUCCGUCUCCAAAACCACCCAAAAGUAUUCUACUCCUAAUCCGGGAGAGAAUAACCAAAAAUAUUUCUGUUUCCCCUUGUGAAAUAAAUGCUCAAGUUAUCUUGUUACUACCACUUGCUAUAUUAUCUCAAGAGAUGAAUGCUCUGAAAAAAAAGAGAGAAAAAGAAAAUAAAAGAUACGAGGAAAUAAAAAGGAGCAAGUGCUCGGAACCUCGAAAGAAAAGAAAAAGAAGAGCAUCUCAUUCUCCUCAUAAAGUUUCAAAAGCAAGGAAGGUAUGUAUCCCCUCAAAGAGCAAAGUAGAAUUAGGCUUCCACCACCAUUGUUAUCACCAUCAUCAACAUACACCAUUCAUUCGCCACACAUGCACAUCUUGAUUUGGCUUAUUGAUUUGUUUCUUUGGAUCCAUGGUUUGACUAUGCAAUAAAUGUCUUGUAAGUAUGUAUACUUUAUCUCCCACCUAUGAGCUCCAGAUAUUAAAGCCUUAUAAGAGUAGGGUGAGAGAGAAGACAUUGUCACUAUGCUUCAUACCACAAAUACUACAUAUCUUGAGAGAAGGCAUAUACCAUCACUGCCUUGGUAAGGAUCCAAAAAUACCACAAAAGAGAGACCUGAGAGAAUCAUACAAGGAAUUUCUGAGUUUUAUUUGAAAAUCUGCAAAAACCCCAGAGCUAUAGCUGAUCAAGAAUAAGAGACAUGGCACUUGGCUAGACUGUUCUAUCUUUUAACCACUCAAGACAGAAGUGACGGUUACAAGUCCUAUGGUGUAGGUAAAGUAAGUAAGUUUUAAGUCUUAACAGUUUAUUCUAACACAGAGAUGAGAUCUUGCUUAAAUACGUGUGUACUUCUAAGAAAUGAAACCACUGCAGAAACUCUUGAGUUCAUCCUUGCUCAGGGACGAGCAAGAGGUAAGCUUGGGGGAGUUUGUUGACGGUCCUUAAGUAUCAAAUUUAAUUAUCAAAUAAACAAAGAAAAGGAUCCAAAUGAAAUCAACAUCUAGACUUAGGGUUUUAUCUGACAGAAUUCCACGAGUUUUGGUGUUUGUCUAUUUCUGCAGGGGGUUAUCAGGAAAUAAGGAAGAAAGGCCCACAUGUCGGGAUUACAUAGAGAUAUCAACCCACCGCGCAAUUUUCUACCAUCUAGAAGACUCCAGAAGCCACGGGAAGGAAGCGGAGCCCGAAAGGGGCCAGGCCCAGGGCGCCCGCCCUGAGGACCUGGGCGCCCGCCCCCCUCUGGACUCCGUUCCGGACUCUCUUCGCACACGACGUUCCACCGACCUAUUGGAUCCAGAAUAAUAUAGUACCACUUCGCCUAUCGACCCAAAAACGCAUAGAAGGGGAGGACUAUAUAAGGAGACCCCCUCUGGCCCUGGAGGAGACAAGAAAUUAUCAUAGAGAUUGAGGGGUUCCCUCGAAGGAAAACCUCUUCUCUAAAUAAUAUUUCUUUUUAGGCUUAGCAACCAAUGUAAAGUAGAAAUAGAUCUUCUAGUUUCUACUAGAUUGAGAGAGAUAGAGUGGAGGUGUGGAUCGGAGGAAGGCCG